Molecule: ribosomal RNA, 450 nt
Filed under: uncultured bacterium
Lineage: Bacteria
Description: SSU rRNA
Rfam family: Bacterial small subunit ribosomal RNA
Source: RNAcentral
AGGAUGAACGCUGGCGGUCUGCUUAACACAUGCAAGUCGAACGGAGUACCUCGGUACUUAGUGGCGGACGGGUGAGUAACGCGUGAGAAUCUGCCCUUAGGUCGGGGACAACCAUUGGAAACGAUGGCUAAUACCGGAUAAGCCGAGAGGUAAAAGAUUAAUUGCCUAGGGAAGAGCUCGCGUCUGAUUAGCUAGUUGGUGAGGUAAAGGCUCACCAAGGCAUCGAUCAGUAGCUGGUCUGAGAGGAUGAUCAGCCACACUGGGACUGAGACACGGCCCAGACUCCUACGGGAGGCAGCAGUGGGGAAUUUUCCGCAAUGGGCGAAAGCCUGACGGAGCAAGACCGCGUGAGGGAGGAAGGCUCUUGGGUUGUAAACCUCUUUUCUUGGGGAAGAACAAAAUGACGGUACCCAAGGAAUCAGCAUCGGCUAACUCCGCGCUAGCAGCCGC